UAGGUGAACCUGCGAGAGGAUCAUUA
RNAcentral lists this ribosomal RNA (26 nucleotides) under Oxyporus corticola. RNAcentral describes it as "Rigidoporus corticola partial 18S ribosomal RNA". The record is from RNAcentral. Lineage: Eukaryota; Fungi; Basidiomycota; Agaricomycetes; Hymenochaetales; Schizoporaceae.